Molecule: long non-coding RNA, 1542 nt
Organism: Brassica oleracea var. oleracea
Lineage: Eukaryota; Viridiplantae; Streptophyta; Magnoliopsida; Brassicales; Brassicaceae
Exons: 2
Source: RefSeq, a predicted model, not a curated record
UAGUCUACUUUUUAUUUAGAAUUAAAAUUAAUUAUAAAAUCAAAUUACAUAAGCAAGUGUAGCGAAAAACUAAAUUUGUGAGAGAAAAUGCUUCCUGGCGCGCUUCCCAGGACUCCCGUGACUCUUCCCUGGCUUUAGUUUCCUCCGCAGCUCAGCCAUCUCUCCACCGCGACUCUAUGCCGGCAACCACCGUCUCAAACUUUCCGACCAGAAUUUUCUUUUGUUUUUAGAAUCCUGAUGUUGAGGGCUACUGAUUCACGGUGUCAGUUUUCGUGUGGGGUGCUUUCUCUGUGUUAGAUCUUGGAUCUAAAUAUCUUCACGGGGUGAUUUUGACCGAAACUUUUUUCCUAUUACUCAUUGCUGGUUUAUACUGUCGAUUACAGUUCCCACCUCAUCUCUGAGGUUUCUACUUGCUCCUCCGUCUCUUAACCACGAGCCUCUCCUCCGCUGAUGUCGUCGCCUCUCAUUCCUUCCCGAAGCUUUUCCCCUUCUCUGUCAAUGGAGUCUCCUGAAGCUGUUUCAUCUGUUUUUCUUCCCCUGCCGCCUGAACCACCAGAUCCCGACCUGGACGUGAUGCUUCUGGUGGAUCAUCCUGUCCCUCCAGGUCCCCCCCACCCUCCACCGAUUCUCAUAGAUGCAAGUGUGCUAUUUGUUCAGCCUCUGUUGAUGCAUCCUUUACUGGCUGAAGCCGAUCUCUCCAGCUCUCUCACCACUAGACGGGUCUCCUUACUCCAUCCGGUGUCAAAGCCGAGAAACUUGGUUUCUUGUGGGGAACAUGUUUCCUUUAAGUCAUCCUUACGGAAGGUGCCUUACUAUCAACAAGAGGCGGGAGUUAUUGAGAUCUCUGUUGCAAGGUUUUUGGGGUUACUAACAGCUGACUGCAAAUUUACUCGUCACUUCAAGUUCUCGAGGAAUGGACUUCGAAUGUUGAAAUUUUGGCGGUGGUGGGUUUUUUGUACGCGGUUUUUAUUACCUCAGUGCAACCUUUUGGAGUGCAGCUCUCUACUGCUAUGUGCAGUUCUCAGUCAAAGCAUAUCCUUCAUUUGAAACCUUGGUCACAUGUUGUUGGACCCAUCUCCCCUUGCUUCAUGCUUUCGCAAGGUUUGAAUAUCUGGCCAUGGUGGCUCGCCUCACAGCAAUCAAUCUUUUGGAAGAGGUGUUUGGUCGCCUCUGUUUGUUGUUGUGUCCUAUCCAAUCGGGUAUGUUGAGAACUUCCCGACUUGGUCGGCUAAUGGAACAUGGAUAGUGAGUUCUACUCAAAGCACCGAAGCUGUAACGCUGCAGAAAGCUCCUCACUCAACAUUUUCAUCUGGAUUUUCAAGUCUUCAGAUUCUAGCGGACUCGAUUGUCCUCUUCUUUGCCCUGCGCACGGGGUUGGUUUUGAUUGAGAUUACAGGUUCCUUUAUCGUUAGGAACCUUGUCCCUCUCGUCAUUCCGUUAUCAUGUUGUUAUAAUCUAUGCACAACCUUCUGUUUAGUUGUUGUUGCUUUUGCAAUGGGUGGUGUCUCCAAACUUUGUUCUUCAAGUACUCUGGUUUGAGUU